CUUUCGAAUCGUCGAUCGGCUCCGUUAAAUUUGAUCUAGAGUAUUUGAAGUAUCUAGGAAAUAAAUUUUAUGAUUUUACGAUAUUAUUUGCCUAGUGAACGAAGGGGCUCAAAAUCAACGGUUGAAAAUAAAAAUCUUACAAAAUGUAAUAAUAUGACAUUAAAAUUUUAAAUCAAAGAUAUUGAUCUUGUUUUAUAUAGUAUAAAGAAUUUUCUAUCAAAAUUUCACGUGAUUUGGAUAUUUCUACACCGUUAAACUUGCAAACGGCUCACUACGGCCAUUGAAAUUUGUUGAUUUUGAGCCCAUUCGAUCACUAGGCAAAUGAUAUCGAAAAAUAAUAAAAUUUAUUUUCUAGAUACCCCAAAUACUCAAGAUCAAGUUUAACGGAGCCGAUCGACGAUUCGAAAGUCGCAACAUCGAAAACGAGCUGGAAGCACGAAAGGCUCCGUGCUUCCGAUAGCAUAGUAGCCUGACUCAUAUAUAUAUAUAUAUAUAUAUAUAUAUAUAUAGAACUAGGCUACUAUGCUAUUAAUAGCACCAAGUCAUUGGUGCUACCAAGUUUUUGGCCAUCGGAUUGAGAGAUGUGCGGUUAGGAUGAUGUGGGCCCCCUAGGGUUGAGUGGGUGGUUGGUUGAAUAGUAUGAUCUAACGGAUGAAAAUGAUCAAAAGGGUAGAUCAAACGGCGGAAAACUUGGUAGCACCAAGUGCUUCGUGCUAUUAAUAGCAUAGUAGCCGGACUCUAUAGAUUAUAUAUAUAUAUUAUGAGUGAGGCUACUAUGCUUUUGGAAGCACGGAGCCUUCUGUGCUUUCAGGUCGUUUUCGAUGUUGUGACUUUAGAAUUGUCGAUCGACUCCGUUAAACUUGAUCUAGAGUAUUUGAAGUACCUAGAAAAUAAAUUUUAUGAUUUUUCGAUAUCAUUUGCCUAGUGAUCGAAGGGGCUCAAAAUCAAUAAUUUUAAUGGCCGUAGUGAGCUGUUUGCAAGUUUAACGGUGUAGAAAUAUCCAAAUCACGUGAAAUUUUGAUAGAAAAUUCUUUAUGCUAUAUAAAACAAGAUCAAUAUCUUUGAUAUAAAAUUUUAAUGUCAUAUUAUCACGUUUUGUAAGAUUUUUAUUUUCAGCCGUUGAUUUUUAGUCCCUUCGUUCACUAGGCAAAUAAUAUUGAAAAAUCGCAUAAUUUAUUUUCUAGAUACUUCAAAUACUUUAGAUUAAGUUUAACAGAGCCGAUCGACGAUUCGAAAGUCGCAACAUGAAAAAUGAUCUGGAAGCACGGAAGGCUCCGUACUUCCAAAAGCAUAGUAGUCUCACUCAUUAUAUUAUUAUAUAUAUUAUUAAUUUUCACAU
This 1339-nucleotide long non-coding RNA is filed under the name Ananas comosus (pineapple). Its description in RNAcentral is "long non-coding RNA (ACOM_LNC036355)". Lineage: Eukaryota; Viridiplantae; Streptophyta; Magnoliopsida; Poales; Bromeliaceae. The record is from RNAcentral.